Non-coding RNA from Microcebus murinus (gray mouse lemur), 3640 nucleotides. The record is from RefSeq and is a predicted model, not a curated record. Lineage: Eukaryota; Metazoa; Chordata; Mammalia; Primates; Cheirogaleidae.
AGUAUUUUUAUUUAUGUCAUAUAACUCUAGGUUGCAUUUAAGCCCGGCUGUGUUUUAUUGUCCUCUUUCAUGUGGAAUAACAUCUAUCCACUGUCUCUCAUAUGAUCAUGAUUUAAAACCCCUGCAAAGACACAGAUUGCAUCUCUGCGUGUUGGGGUUGCUUGCAUAAGGAGCUGGCUUCCAAGGCAGCACCCCAAAGAGACAGGAGCACUGAUGCUGUAACCUGAAGCCUGGAUUUCAGGGCCAGCUCUGCUACUCACUAACUCAGGCAAAGUGAAGAAAAGAUAUGUAAACUAAAAGUCAUAGUUUGGACCCUGACCACCUCACUGGGCUAUGGCAGGAGAUAAUGAAAAGAAAGAGCUUUGCUAAUUGUACAGCCUGAAGCAGUGGCUGUUUUGACUAUUACCUGGUUAUUCUAUCUUCUGAGGUUUACUAAGUUUUAUAGGUGAGUCAAAGGUAUAUGUAUCUUUAAGAAUAAUUGAGAAAAUGUAUUUUUGAAGGUUUCUGCCAAGUCAUUUAUUUUAUUAGGCUUAACAGUAAUAAAGAACAUGAUGUUGGUUUCUAUGAUCGAUGUAUUGCCAAAGCAGAGAGCCUGUGACUUGGGUCCAAAUACUGAUUGUAGUUGUCCAGUUUUCCUAUGUAUAAGUCAAAUAUAAGAGGAAGAUUUCUCUUUGUACAGAUUCAGCUUGUCUGGCUUAUAAUUGACCAGCAUUGCAAGUCAGGAAAAGAUGCUUAAGAAACGAUUCAAGGAAGAUCAGCAGAGACUGAAUAUUUCCUAAUUUACCUGGAUUUGUGGAUGUUACCAAAUUCAGAUUAUUGUUUCUUCUUUGAAAUCAUUCCUACUUGUUAUCUCAAUGAACUUUAUGUGGCCUAAAGGUUUACCAGCUCCUCCAGAAAUAUGUACCGGAUUCUUUUUUUUUUUUUUCAGCCCCUCUAUCUGCCUGAGCACCUUCUCUUUGGAUAGUUUUCUCCUUUAAAAGACGUACCAGGUGUGAAACAUCUGCAAGAGUCUCUUAAAUUCUUAGUCAUCAGCCUGAUGAUCAUUUCCUUAAGAGAUAGUCUCAGGGACCAUCCAUUGACCAAGACAGAGUUUCUCUUCUAAGCAUCACUGGAAGUUUUCUCUCCAAAAGAGUGAGAAUUCUUUUAACAGGCACUAGUCCUGUAUGGAAGCAGAACAGGCAUACAAGAUAAGCAUAGCCUUACCCAAAGAGAAAAUAUAGUAAGGACCAUUUUCUUUUGCUGAUCUUAGAUUGGAAAACCUUGCAAAAUUGGAUUCAGUCUAUAGAAAUCCCAUUAAGUCCUAUCUAAGCAAAAACUAAGGUUCUUGGCAUAUUUUGCUUAUCAGAGUGACUAACGAGCUAGUUGGUGUGGAUAAGAAGAAUGAGAUUAAUCUUCUGAGAUUCAUAACAUGGAUCAUUUAUUCUAUUUGGAUACAUCUAUGGCUAGGAUGCUGUUGUUUUUGUUAUAUGAAUUUAGUUAUCCAAUUGCUUUUCUCUAUAUGACAGAGUGAAUAAUUAAAUUAUGCAUGUAGGGAAGGAGUGGUACAAAAGAAUUACGUGUUAUCUAUGCUUUCUGUUAUGAAUUUUAUCAAAUUUUUGGAUGUUUUUGUUUGCUUUUCUUUUAAUGCAAAAGAAGCUUACCUUUAGCAAUUUUCAGAACCUGAGAAACAAGAAGAUGGUAAAGAAUAUGUUUGGCCAAUGGAAUUGGGACAGGCAUCAGGAAGUGCAUCUAAAAAAGGCUCUUGACCUGGUUUGAAUGUGAGCCUGUGUGACGAAGAUGAUUUGGACUGAUUAGACCAGAUGGAAGAUUCAGAAGGGACAGUUAUACAAAUAGGUGCGUUCUCUGAAGGCAUCAAUGAUCUGACAGUAAGUUGGUAAAAUGAAUUGAAAAUGUUAUUUUAAAAACGUCUUUCGGAAGAACCCAAAGGACUGCACGCAUUUGGAGAAUGCAUAGUUCUGAGCUCGUGGCUGUCGGUGUGUGACUCCCCGUCUCCCUGUUUCCCAGCACAUGCUAAAAGAAGACAACGUGUUUAAAGACUUUGCUGCCCAUUCCCCAGAUGCCAGCAUCACAGACAAAGACUCAGAUGUUUGACCCUUAGCACCUGGACACUUGUGAAUGAGAGUGUGACUGUUUUUCCUCAUGUAAAAAUAUGUAAUAUAUUCUAUUUAAUAAAGUGUUGCAUUGAAGAUAAAUCUUUUACCACUGUGUUUUCAUUCACAACCACAAUAUAGAGGAUUUGGGAAGCAGGAAUCAGUGUGUGAUUGAUUUUGUCACACUUGGGCUCACUGCAGCUAUCUGAGUAUGACAUUAUGUGCUUUCAAAAUCAGUAUGUGGAAUUCCUUUAAAAAGCAUUCAGUGCACCCACUAAAUGCCAGCCACCCCUCUACUUGCCUCUUAUUGUCUUUUUAUGUAUUUUUCUAAAUAUAUGUGUAUAUAGAGUACAUAGAAAAUAGAGCAUUUAUUUUUUUGACAUAAGGAAGAUGGUGAAAAGAUCACAUUUUUAAAAAAAUAUGGUGAUCAAAAUUUCUUAUACCAGCUGGUUCCUGAAGCAGUCAGAAUGAUCUUUCUUUCACCACAACUGAAUUUUAACAAUGUUGAUCACUGAGGCUAAAUUCAUAUAUAGGAAAUAUUCCUCUUUUGAUGUGACACCACAAAAUUGUCCAGCAGUUAAAGAAUUUCAACCAUAAUCUUGGAUCCUUUUACCUUAUAAGAAAGAACUCAAGGGACAUUAGUAUACUAUUAACUUGAAUAUAUCCAGAAGCCCCUUCUUCCAAAAAAUUUGUAGAAUAAUCCAAAAACAAAACAAAAACCUUUACAGUAUUAAAUUUCUUAUUUUGUCUUUUUAAAAUACAUCAUUACAUCAAAAUUAUAACAGUCUGCCCAAACAUAUUAAGUGUACAUUUCUCAGGCUAUCAAUAGAAUGGAGCUUUUUAAAAAACUGAAUAUUUUUCUGAACACUUUGUUUCAGAGUUCAAAAAAAUUUGAGGCUGCAAAAUUACUUUUAUAAUGUCAAUUUUGUGAUGAUAAAAUGUAGUUCAUGUUUUUCUGUAGCUAGCAAUGGGCCCAAAUAUUCUUUGUAAAGAAAGUAGAAAGUUGCAACAAAAAUCUGCCUCUGUGUUUAUUUUUUUAGGAAUAUUGAAAAAUAUUCUAUUUUUAUUCAGUGCUGCAUAAUUCUUCAUGGUAGCCUGCCAUUCAUUAUUUGGUACCUGCAUUGGCCUCUUACUGUAUUUAGGUUUUAUUUUAAUAUGACUAUAUGUUACCAAUGAAAAACUCAAUUUGUUGUUAUUAAUAGAAUCUGAUCGAGAAUACCAGAAGACUGUUACAGAUGCCAAAAAUUAUCUAUUCAGGACAAUAUAACAUAACUAACUGGCAAUAGGUAAUAAGGUUAAAAAAAUUUUGAUGAUAUAUUUUAUCUAUAAAUAUUAUGCACUGCUGAUAUUAUCAUAUGAAAGGAAAUAAAGUUGAUUGAUAAUUGCUUCAAAUUUUUAUUGUGGUUAGUGUAAGUAAUCUGCCCUCUUCUAUAGUUGUGUGAUUUAUUAGGAAUGGCUGUGAUUUUUGUUUGUAGCAUUGAUAGUUUUAAUAUGCAAUUGGGAAGGUAAAACUGAAGGAUUGUUAUUUUGGUAGUAAGAAUAGAGCAAUU